RNAcentral lists this ribosomal RNA (415 nucleotides) under uncultured bacterium. Its description in RNAcentral is "bacterial SSU rRNA". It matches the Rfam family "Bacterial small subunit ribosomal RNA", at positions 355 to 786 of the family's 1533-position model. The record is from RNAcentral.
UGGGGAAUAUUGCACAAUGGGCGAAAGCCUGAUGCAGCAACGCCGCGUGAAGGAAGAAGGCCUUUGGGUCGUAAACUUCUGUCCUAGGGGAAGAAGAAAGUGACGGUACCCUUGGAGGAAGCCCGGCUAACUACGUGCCAGCAGCCGCGGUAAUACGUAGGGGCGAAGCGUUAUCCGGAAUUAUUGGGCGUAAAGAGUGCGUAGGUGGUUUUGUAAGCGCGGGGUGAAAGGCAAUGGCUUAACCAUUGUAAGCCCUGCGAACUGUGAGACUUGAGUGCAGGAGAGGAAAGCGGAAUUCCUAGUGUAGCGGUGAAAUGCGUAGAUAUUAGGAGGAACACCAGUGGCGAAGGCGGCUUUCUGGACUGUAACUGACACUGAGGCACGAAAGCGUGGGGAGCAAACAGGAUUAGAUACC